UGUACGCAAACAAAUAAAUUAAUGUGGUAAUUUGUCACUUAAUUAGGGAGCAAUAAGAUAUUAGGGCAGACACAUUACUUUUUCACUUACAAUUGCUUCCUGCACACAGGAGUUGACCCUUUUGUACAAUAACCAAGAGAGUGAUGUUCCUCAACUAUCAUAUACCUGGUACUCAACUAGUGGCAGUGCAAAAUGUUUAGAAAUUGAGAAAUGUCGAUCAAAUCUGGCAAGAAAAAUAAUAAAAUUUAAAAAAGUCAAAAGUUUUGUCGUGACAUCUUUGACCGUUUUGUGGGUGUGACCAAUAUGUGUUUGGUGUACCGAUAAAGAUUGGAAUAAGAAAUAAUAAAAUGAAAAAAGUCAAAACUUUUUUAAAAGGCGUGGCAGUUUUGUUUUAAAGCUGAGAGAGCUCCAUAAGGUCUUAAGAGCAACGUAUGGCAAAGUUCAAAGUGCAAAUGUGUGCAACACACAGCAGAAAUUUAAUAGUUUAACUUUUCUAACAACAAUAAAACAUUUUGGCUUUUCGAUUUCAAAUAACUAUAAUAUUUUUUUUAUAUUAAUAUGAAGAAAAAUAGUGGUAAAAUGGGUGUAACAUUGGUCCGUUGCUUGCUUUGUUUACUUCUGCUAUGUGCAUGGCUUCCUCCAAAUGGUGUAAGGUUUGGCAUUCCUUCGUUUUUUGUAUGAUUUUAACCUUCAUUUGCGGAAAAUAAGCUGUUGAUUUAUAAGGCGAUUAUCAGGCCAAUUUGGACAAUUGGCAUCCAACUAUAGGGUACCGCAUCCAGGUCCAACAUCCAAAUAAUCCAGGUUUUCGAGAACAAAACUCUCCGAACCGCCACUAACGUUCACCCUCUACACGACACAAGACAAUACACGAGGUUCUCAGCUUCUUCUGGGUGACAAAUGAAAUUAAAGGCAACAGCAGCCGGUACAUGCACAAGCUACAAGACCAUUUUAACAACCUGGGCCUCAACCUAUUGGGCACCAGUCAUCGCACCAGGUGGUUGCUCCGGUCCCACCCUACGGACCUCCCCCGAAACUAGCAGGAAAAUCCACGAAAUAACAAAUCCAAAUUGAAACAACAAAUGUAAAUUGAAUGUUUAUUAAACAAUUAAUGUAAUCUGAAUGUCAUAAAUGUAAUACCCAUUGUUAAGUACCGUCAAAAAAUGUAGUGAUUGUCCGCGAAGAACAGUUUUAAAUAAACUCACCAUGCUAGGACAAAAAAA
Molecule: long non-coding RNA, 1220 nt
Organism: Drosophila yakuba
Lineage: Eukaryota; Metazoa; Arthropoda; Insecta; Diptera; Drosophilidae
Exons: 2
Source: RefSeq, a predicted model, not a curated record